AACUCGGUCAGACAGAGGAGAGAGAUUGGAAGUUUACAGAGGAUCGGUUUUAGUUGACAGCUUUGCUUGUUUAAAGAAGUAGGCGUGGUAGUCCUGUGUUCGGGAACUCAGUAGUCACAGUCGGAUAAAAGAGGUAUACUGAAUGAAGUUAAUAGUAGCAAGAGAGGAGAAAGAGUUCAAAGAGGAAGUAUGGAGGUCGGUUGCCAGUACUGUUAUAGUUGUUGGUGAAUCCCGAGUCA
This 239-nucleotide long non-coding RNA is filed under the name Musa acuminata (dwarf banana). RNAcentral's name for it is "long non-coding RNA (MACU_LNC011370)". Lineage: Eukaryota; Viridiplantae; Streptophyta; Magnoliopsida; Zingiberales; Musaceae. The record is from RNAcentral.